Long non-coding RNA from Gambusia affinis (western mosquitofish), 529 nucleotides. RefSeq lists it as uncharacterized. The record is from RefSeq and is a predicted model, not a curated record. The transcript has 5 exons. NCBI's taxonomy places the organism in Eukaryota, Metazoa, Chordata, Actinopteri, Cyprinodontiformes, Poeciliidae.
CACUAAGCUGAAUAAAUGGCCAGGUGAGGCAAGUUGGGAUAAACUCUGGAUGAAGAAUAUCUCAAGGGAGGUUCCUCUCAGUUGAAAAGGAUUGUCUCCAGAACAAAGGAAGCUCCUGAUGGUCUUGUGAUUGCAGCUUCAUCAAUAAGUCAGUGUUCCUAAUGCACCAACUGAACAGGAAUCCCUGAGGACAAGAGACCUCGAGAGCAUACAUGACUCAUCUUCGGCAGAACAUGAUUAUCUCCUGGAAAGCUAUUAUCAGCUACAAAGCGUCCUUGCAGGCAGCAGCUUUGGGCAAAGAAAGCACAACAGCACUUUCUGUUCGUCUCCCUUGUGACAAAAGGAUGGCAGAAACACGAGAGAAGAAAACCCAGAAGACCGAACUUGUCAGGCUGCCUGCUGACUGGCUUAAGUGAGUAAAAAUGAAAAGCAGGCUGAUCACAAAUGGGGUGCCUUUGUCCAAUUGGCUGAGGUCCUGACCGGCACCGCCAGCAAUUGAUGACAUUACUGUGUGAAACACAACGGGGAA